This 172-nucleotide ribosomal RNA is filed under the name uncultured bacterium. RNAcentral describes it as "partial 16S ribosomal RNA". It matches the Rfam family "Bacterial small subunit ribosomal RNA", at positions 335 to 524 of the family's 1533-position model. The record is from RNAcentral.
ACUCCUACGGGAGGCAGCAGUGGGGAAUAUUGCACAAUGGGGGAAACCCUGAUGCAGCGACGCCGCGUGAAGGAAGAAGUAUCUCGGUAUGUAAACUUCUAUCAGCAGGGAAGAUAGUGACGGUACCUGACUAAGAAGCCCCGGCUAACUACGUGCCAGCAGCCGCGGUAAU